CCAGACUCCUACGGGAGGCAGCAGUAGGGAAUAUUGCUCAAUGGGGGAAACCCUGACCCAGCGACGCCGCGUGAGGGAAGACGGUCUUCGGAUUGUAAACCUCUGUCUUUGGGGACGAAAAAGGACGGUACCCAAGGAGGAAGCUCCGGCUAACUACGUGCCAGCGGCCGCGGUAAUACGUAGGGGGCAAGCGUUAUCCGGAUUUACUGGGUGUAAAGGGGGCGCAGACGGCAGCGCAAGCCAGGAGUGAAAGCCCGGGGCCCAACCCCGGGACUGCUCUUGGAACUGCGCGGCUGGAGUGCAGGAGGGGCAGGCGGAAUUCCUGGUGUAGCGGUGAAAUGCGUAGAUAUCAGGAGGAACACCGGUGGCGAAGGCGGCCUGCUGGACUGCGACUGACGUUGAGGCCCGAAAGCGUGGGGAGCAAACAGGAUUAGAUACCCCCGUAAG
This 447-nucleotide ribosomal RNA is filed under the name uncultured bacterium. Its description in RNAcentral is "partial 16S ribosomal RNA". It matches the Rfam family "Bacterial small subunit ribosomal RNA", at positions 331 to 793 of the family's 1533-position model. The record is from RNAcentral.